This 1273-nucleotide long non-coding RNA is filed under the name Macaca fascicularis (crab-eating macaque). RNAcentral's name for it is "lncRNA (ENSMFAG00000049967.1)". Lineage: Eukaryota; Metazoa; Chordata; Mammalia; Primates; Cercopithecidae. The record is from RNAcentral.
GCCACUGUGCCUGGCCAAAUCUAGACAUUUCUUAAUAGAAUUCAACCUCAGUCAUGCACACAUUCAUUCAUUCCAUUGAACACCUAGUGUAUACCAAGCUCUGUGCUAUACUCCAGGUGUCAAGAAGCUAUGAUGGCAUAAAAAGAAGGUGAGUGAUUGUCCACAAUGCAGGAAAAAGCCCACAUUAGCAAUGGGCACGGAGGUAAGGAAAUACCAUACAAUGGAGACUGAGGAGAACUUUGUCAAAACAGUGGCAUGAACCGACAACAAAAAUCAGGGAUGUGCUACCCGAUCUUGACGAGCCAGUCCUAUCACCAAAAGGAAGAUCCCAGGGACAGGCAGGCUGGGAAGCACAGGGCAUGGCACCGGCCACCCAUGGAAAACUUCAGCCUUGGGUGUGAGGAUGAUGGCACCCCUCUAAGUUUCAGUGAUGGCCUGGAAGGGAUGAAUGAGAAGGAGUUGGUGGAGGAAGAAGUUGUCAAAAUCUAAGACAUAUCUAUGCAACUGCAGUGAGAGAGGUGGAGAGAAGAGCACGUUGGGCCCAGAGAUUCUUAGGCAUCAGGAUCUAAACUUGGCAACCAGUUGACUGUGACGAAGACAUGAAAGAGAGGCAGAAGGCAACGAUGCCUUGAGUUUCUAGUUUAGCUGAUGAGAUGGGUGGCAACAUCAUUAACAGAGGUAAAGACGUGUUCAAGAGACAGUUGUUUUCUGUUUUGUUUUGUAAUUUAAUCAGUGGAUUUGGGGCAUGCCCAGAAAGAGGCUACCUAAGGGUAUUAUUUGACUAUUCCCUGGAACUAUGUCAACACACACUGAAAACGAAAGCUAGAGAAGGAAUGAAUUCCCAUUUAUGAACCAGUGUUUCCUGACUCUCAACUCUGUCUGACUCUCAACUCUGUGGAAGCCACCCUAGGCAUGGGAGGCAGGUGGUGAGGAAUUCCCAGACGUUGUGUUUCUUUGGAGGAGCUAAGAUGGUCCAGGCUCCAUGCAGGGGAAGCAACUUAUUUCUUAGGCUUAGUCCUUCCUUCCUCCUGAAAGACCCCUGACAGAGUGCUAGAUGUAGGGCAGGACUUCUGAACCUAAAGAGCAGACACUUCUCAAUUAUACUUUUUCCAUGCAUUGCCUUCAAAAAACUGCACGCCUGCUGGGCUCGGUGGCUCACGCCUGUAAUCCCAGCACUUUGGGAGGCGGAGGUGGGUGGAUCACUUGAGGCUAGAAAUUCGAGUCCAACCUGAGCGACGCAGUGAGACCCUGUCUGUACAAAAAAAAAAAAAAA